Molecule: ribosomal RNA, 256 nt
Filed under: uncultured bacterium
Lineage: Bacteria
Description: partial 16S ribosomal RNA
Rfam family: Bacterial small subunit ribosomal RNA
Source: RNAcentral
UACGUAGGUGGCAAGCGUUUGUCCGGAUUUAUUGUGUUUAAAGGGUGCGUAGGCGGCCCUGUAAGUCAGUGCUGAAAUACCCCGGCUUAACCGGGGGGGUGGCAUUGAUACGUGCAGGGCUUGAGUACAGAUGAGGUAGGCGGAAUUGACGGUGUAGCGGUGAAAUGCAUAGAGUAUCGUCAAGAACACCGAUAGCGAAGGCAGCUUACUGGGCUGUAACUGACGCUGAUGCACGAAAGUGUGGGGAUCAAACAGG